AACUCUUACUUUCUUUUACGAGAACAAAUAAUUAUUGUAUGUUAUUUUUAUUAAAUAAAAUUCAAUAUAUAAUUUUUUUGGUGUAAUACUGUUAUUAAUUUACAGCAUGAUUUAUAACAAACUUGUUUGUGUUUGCUUAACUCUACACUUGAAUCCUAAAACAUUUAUAGAACUUUGUUUUAAAGGAAAAGAAGCGUAAAGUUAAUUUUGAUGUAUCUUCCGCUUUUUUUUUUUUUUUUUUUUUUUAAAAAAAAAAAACUAUUUUGUCAUAAAACCAAGCAAAGUAACCUAUUAUACAUAAAUGUGUAAAGAAUAAUUUUUUUAAAAGUUUAAAACGUUUUUGAAAAUAAAAAUAACUAAGCAUAAUCAUAAAUAAAUAUAGAGUAUUAUCUAUCGUAUUACAUAAUUUGCUAUGUAAAGUUAAAAAAAAAAAAAAAAAAAAAAAUGAAUAGAAGAGUUUUAAAUAGUAAUCAACGGAAUAAUAAUGAAAAACAUACUAAAAAUUUAAACGAAAUUUAUAUUAGCAAUAAAAAAAUAAAAAGUUUGAAAGUAAAUAAUAAGAAUAGCUCAAAUCGUGUAAGGAAUUCGAACCCUAACUGUGUUAAUAAAAACAGUGUUUUUUUAAAUUCUAAAAAUGAGAUCGAAAAAAAAAAAAACACUAUUUUGAGUAAUAAUAUUAAUGAACAUAGAAGUAGUUCAAAAAAAAAAAAAAAUAGUGAAAUGAAAGUGUUUGAAAAUGUAAAUAAUGAAAUGGACUUAUUAAAGAAUUCAUUACAUGUUACAACAAAUUAUUCUUAUCCAAACUUAAAAAAUAAGACACUGUUAGUAUCUUCUGAUUAUUGUGGUACCAAAAUAAUACCAAAAAAUAUAAUUCAAGUGAAAACAAAAAACAAUGAUAAGUUUUUGAGUAACCAUAAAAAUACAUUUUUAAACACUAACAACGACAAUGUACAUACACAUAUCGUGCCGAAUACUUAUAUGUACCCAAGUAGUAACGAUAUGUAUCAAAGUAGUAAUGACAAUUAUAGUAGUGAUAACUACGGUAACCAUGGAAAAGCUAAAAAUGUUCCAAUGGUAAUGUAUACCAAUUCAGAAGUAGAAAUAAUAAAACCAAAAAAUAACAACAAACAUAAUACUAAUGUUAAUAGCAUAAUAAAUCAUAAUGACCAAGCGUUAGAGCUAUAUUAUAAUAUAAGAAAUGGCAAUAGUGAAAUUAAAAAUAAUAAUGAAGCUUUAAAAAAAAAAAUGAAUAAUAAUAAUAAUAAUGCUUAUGGUAGUUACAGUAGUACUUAUAGUGAUAACACAACUAGUCAUUGUAGUAGUAGUAGUAGUAACACUUAUAAUGACAGUAGUACCGGUCGUAAUAAGAGUAAAACUAAUUUGAAACAGAAUGCAUGUAAUAUGCAUAUUAUAAACAAUAAAGUUAUAAAUGAUAUGACAAAUAUCGACAAAAUAAACAUGAACAAAAUAAACACUAAUAAGGUAAAAAAUGACAAAAGAAAUCGAAACUUGCUAUCAAUAAAUAAAAAAAUUGGUGGUAGGAAUUCGACAGACAUGAGUGUGUAUUGUCCGAUAACUUCUAAUAAUAUUUAUGAUAGUAUAUACAUACCGCAUAUAAGUAUUAAAAACAUGAUACGAUCAGAACCUGUAUAUGAUGGUAUUAUAGCUAAUAGUAGUAGUUAUAAUAGUAAUAUUAUCACUAAUUCGGUUACUAAUUCGGUUACUAAUUCGGUUACUAAUUCGGUUACUAAUUCGGUUACUAAUGGCAUGACGAGUGACAUGACGAGUGACAUGACGAGUGACAUGACGAGGGACAUGACGAGUGACAUGACGAGUGGCAUGACGAGUGGCAUGACGAGUGGCAUGACGAGUGGCAUGCUUGAUAACUCCAACAACAAUAACAGUAAUAACAAUAAUGAAGAAAUAAUUAGUAAUGCAAUUAAAAAAUCAGAGAGCACAAAUUUAAUCAAUACAUUAAAUGCUUAUUCGAACGUAAAAGUAGCUGUACGUAUUAAACCUAUAGAAAAUAGAGAAGAUAGCAUUAUAUCAAUUUUUAAUAAAAAUUA
RNAcentral lists this long non-coding RNA (2066 nucleotides) under Piliocolobus tephrosceles (Ugandan red Colobus). RNAcentral describes it as "lncRNA (ENSPTEG00000010906.1)". The record is from RNAcentral. Lineage: Eukaryota; Metazoa; Chordata; Mammalia; Primates; Cercopithecidae.